GCCUAACACAUGCAAGUCGAACGAACCCUUCGGGGUUAGUGGCGCACGGGUGCGUAACGCGUGGGAAUCUGCCCUUUGCUUCGGAAUAACAGUUAGAAAUGACUGCUAAUACCGGAUGAUGUCUUCGGACCAAAGAUUUAUCGGCAAGGGAUGAGCCCGCGUAGGAUUAGGUAGUUGGUGGGGUAAAGGCCUACCAAGCCGACGAUCCUUAGCUGGUCUGAGAGGAUGAUCAGCCACACUGGGACUGAGACACGGCCCAGACUCCUACGGGAGGCAGCAGUGGGGAAUAUUGGACAAUGGGCGCAAGCCUGAUCCAGCAAUGCCGCGUGAGUGAUGAAGGCCUUCGGGUCGUAAAGCUCUUUUACCAGGGAUGAUAAUGACAGUACCUGGAGAAUAAGCUCCGGCUAACUCCGUGCCAGCAGCCGCGGUAAUACGGAGGGAGCUAGCGUUGUUCGGAAUUACUGGGCGUAAAGCGCACGUAGGCGGCGACACAAGUCAGAGGUGAAAGCCCGGGGCUCAACCCCGGAACUGCCUUUGAAACUAGGUUGCUAGAAUCUUGGAGAGGUCAGUGGAAUUCCGAGUGUAGAGGUGAAAUUCGUAGAUAUUCGGAAGAACACCAGUGGCGAAGGCGACUGACUGGACAAGUAUUGACGCUGAGGUGCGAAAGCGUGGGGAGCAAACAGG
This 684-nucleotide ribosomal RNA is filed under the name uncultured Alphaproteobacteria bacterium. Its description in RNAcentral is "bacterial SSU rRNA". It matches the Rfam family "Bacterial small subunit ribosomal RNA", at positions 46 to 776 of the family's 1533-position model. Lineage: Bacteria; Pseudomonadati; Pseudomonadota; Alphaproteobacteria. The record is from RNAcentral.